This 108-nucleotide small nucleolar RNA is filed under the name Cavia porcellus (domestic guinea pig). RNAcentral describes it as "Small nucleolar RNA U13". It matches the Rfam family "Small nucleolar RNA U13". Lineage: Eukaryota; Metazoa; Chordata; Mammalia; Rodentia; Caviidae. The record is from Rfam by way of RNAcentral.
AUCCUUUGGUGGCUGAUAAGUGUGACAACUAUGUUUUCACACCUGGUGUGAGGUGCGCCUCCCACACACCCUGUUAGGACAUGGGUAUGUGAUAUGACAUGUCUGAUG